AAACUAAUACGCAAGCUGUGCCAGUGUGUCAGACACCAGAGGGAGAGAGGACAUACUGGAUCUUUCUGGGUAUCAUCAAACUUCUCCAUCCAAGAAUAAGGGACAGCAGCAUCUCUUUGACAUCCAUAGCCCAUUUCUGCUUUGCCAAUAUCACUUGUGCAUCUGGGGCCACCAAUGCAUCCUAUCCUAGCAAGUAUCAAUGGGAAUAAAGAAGAAACUUAGAAAAUGACAAAAUUCAAGAAGAGCUGAAGCUCUGGAGCUAGCUUUGGUGGAGAAAGAAUGAUGGGGGAUGUUGGACUAAGCGAGAAAUGCAUAAGAAGCUGGAAACCAGAAAGCAACGAGACCCACUAACACGGUCUACUCUGGUCGGCCCCUGGGCACAAAGGAGGGUGAAGAAAGGAUGGGAGCAGACAUGGAGGCACCAAUGGAAAGUACCAGAACACUUAAAAAAUUGAACUUUUAUGUUAUUACUCAAUGUUACUUUUAUAUUAUUAAUCAGUAUUUACUGAGCCCAACCCCUAUGAUAGUUCUACAAUGUAUUACUCUUCAAAUCUAAGCUAGACCUGAAAUCCUAUAUUCUGUUUUAAGCUAUUACCUUUCAAUAGGAAAAGAGAGGUGUUGAGUGUCACCUUAAUCCUUCCUGAGAUAAACAUUCAAAUCAAUCUCUCUACAGAUUGCCCAU
This is a long non-coding RNA of Pan troglodytes (chimpanzee), 682 nucleotides long. RefSeq lists it as uncharacterized. The transcript is spliced from 3 exons. The record is from RefSeq and is a predicted model, not a curated record. Lineage: Eukaryota; Metazoa; Chordata; Mammalia; Primates; Hominidae.